This 72-nucleotide transfer RNA is filed under the name Phrynosoma platyrhinos (Desert horned lizard). RNAcentral describes it as "tRNA-OTHER". Lineage: Eukaryota; Metazoa; Chordata; Lepidosauria; Squamata; Phrynosomatidae. The record is from RNAcentral.
GCCUGUGUGGUGUAGUGGUUCAAGCAUUGGACUAUGACUCUGGAGACCAAGGUUUGACUCCCUGCUUGGCCA